UGCACAGUGAUGAUGAAGAAUAGUAAUUGAAAAGUUUCCUCUAAAGAGAGCUGGUGGUGGGUGUAAACCAGUGUGGAACGUUUGAUGAAUGGCCUUCUGAACUUCCAGACCGAACCAUACUAGUUAUGCAGUAGGCUUUGGCGAACGUCUUAUCGAUAAAAAAGACAGCUAUUAAGUUUUAACUUGAUAGUAAAGUGAGCUGUUUAGGCAGCUAAUAAAGGUGGUACCACGGGUUCCUCGUCCUUUUC
Molecule: non-coding RNA, 248 nt
Filed under: Virgibacillus necropolis
Lineage: Bacteria; Bacillati; Bacillota; Bacilli; Caryophanales; Bacillaceae
Description: T-box sequence
Rfam family: T-box leader
About the family: Uncharged tRNA acts as the effector for transcription antitermination of genes in the T-box leader family. T-boxes are found upstream of many aminoacyl-tRNA synthetase genes and some amino acid biosynthetic genes usually in Gram-positive bacteria.
Source: RNAcentral